RNAcentral lists this ribosomal RNA (494 nucleotides) under uncultured bacterium. RNAcentral's name for it is "bacterial SSU rRNA". It matches the Rfam family "Bacterial small subunit ribosomal RNA", at positions 8 to 526 of the family's 1533-position model. The record is from RNAcentral.
AGAGUUUGAUCAUGGCUCAGGACGAACGCUUGCGGCGUGCCUAAGAAAUGCAAGUCGAACGGAUACCUUCGGGUAUUAGUGGCGAACGGUCGCGUAACACGUAAGCAACCUGCCCUAAAGUGGGGGACAACAGUCCGAAAGGACUGCUAAUACCGCAUGUGGAUGUUUGGCGGCAUCGCCUUUCAUCUGAAGUCUUCGGACGCUUUAGGAUGGGCUUGCGGCCUAUCAGGUAGUUGGUGGGGUAAUGGCCUACCAAGCCGACGACGGGUAGCUGGUCUGAGAGGACGAUCAGCCGGAUUGGGACUGAGAUACGGCCCAGACUCCUACGGGGGGCAGCAAUUAGGAAUCUUGCACAAUGGGGGAAACCCUGAUGCAGCGACGUCGCGUGAGGGAUGACGGAUUUCGGUCUGUAAACCUCUUUUGAUAGGGAAGAACUUUGACGGUACCUAUCGAAUCAGCCCCGGCUAACUACGUGCCAGCCGCCGCGGUAAUAC